UCUUUCUCCUGUUUCUUCUUCCGCCAUUGUUUUUC
RNAcentral lists this small RNA (35 nucleotides) under Arabidopsis thaliana (thale cress). RNAcentral describes it as "ATSL138060". Lineage: Eukaryota; Viridiplantae; Streptophyta; Magnoliopsida; Brassicales; Brassicaceae. The record is from RNAcentral.